RNAcentral lists this long non-coding RNA (1307 nucleotides) under Chinchilla lanigera (long-tailed chinchilla). RNAcentral describes it as "lncRNA (ENSCLAG00000025333.1)". Lineage: Eukaryota; Metazoa; Chordata; Mammalia; Rodentia; Chinchillidae. The record is from RNAcentral.
GGAAGAUGGCAGAAAGCAGGGGAUUAGUAUAACCAUGAACUAGAGGGAGGUCAACGGUCUGGAACUCCACCCUCAAGAGGGAAAGGGUUCCCGAUCCCAAAGUUUGCUUUUUGUUUUCAGCUGAAGACGUCAGGCACUGGAUUGAUGAAAAUAUGCAGAAUGCUGACUAAAUCUCAGCUUGAACAAGGGUGGGUAGAAAGAGUCAUUACCGUGUAUGAAAUGCUGCUGAAAUGUUUCCUUGGUGAGAAAAGUCAACAGAAGGGCUCAUGUCCUUGUCAUUGCCCUGAGCAGUUCUCGCUCAGCAUGCAGCAGUCUGCUGGUCAGCACUGGGAUCUGUUUCUUCUCUCAUGAAAGGAGAGUGAAGUACUCUAGGUCUUGGCUGCCCAUAUCAGCUCAGAGAAGGGCCACUGUGCUUUCCUAAGAGGCUUCGGUUGUUCUGAAUAUUUCUCAGUGGUCCUCGAAAUGCAAAGCCACUGUCCUAAGAUGAAAGUUCACUUCACAGGAACCAAGGGAAGACAUGACGUCUGCUUAGAUACUUCUCCUAAGCAGGAGAAAAGAUAAUCAAAGCUUGUAGCUUAAUUAGGGCUAUUUCCAUCUGAACAGCACCCUGCAGAGUCACCUGCAGUAACUUUUCCACCUGGAACUAACUUUUACUUCAGAGUCCACCCAAUGGAGGAUCCUGGAACUCCAGAACUAAAGGAACCCAAUUUGUUUCAUUAUAUAUCUCAUUUAUUUAUUUAUUUCAUUGAUUCAUGUAAUACUAAGUAUUUACAUAAGAGGUAUGGUAUUUUCAUUGUCUAUAAAUCAUAUCACCUGUGUUGGUUACUCUUCUCAUUGCUGAGACAAAAUACCUGACACCCAAAGUUAAAGGGGGAAAGGCUUACUUAGCUCACAGUUUGUAGAGUUUUCCAUUCAUAAUCCGCUGGCUCCAAGGCAGAGUGGUGCAUGGCAGAGGGGCAACUGUUCAUGGAGGCAGAAGACAACAAAAGCAAACAAACAAGGAGGAGGAGGGGCAACAAGCCUCUUCGUGUACUUAUAUUGUAUUCAGUCUACCAGGAUUAGAGUGGUGCCAGUCCAAUCUGUGGACAGAUCCAGCAAUCACCCACCCUUAAUUCCAGCACCCUUAAUCCCAGCAUUGAACCACGAAUCAGUCACAAAUUCUAGAUUCAGCUAUCUCCAAAAAGCCCAAUCUAAAAGUGCAUGAGGCUUUGGGGCAACAUCUAGACACAAACCACGACACAUCCCAUUCAUUUUAAAUCAAUGCCAUAUAUUUCUGCAAGCUGAAGGCAGAUCUUGCGAGGUCAGUG